Molecule: long non-coding RNA, 2440 nt
Filed under: Sus scrofa (pig)
Lineage: Eukaryota; Metazoa; Chordata; Mammalia; Artiodactyla; Suidae
Description: lncRNA (ENSSSCG00035066186.1)
Source: RNAcentral
UUUUUUUUUUUUUUUUUUUUUUUUUUUAGCAGAUCGCAGAGCCUCUCUGAACUUCAGGCUCCUCAUCUAUAAAAUGGACCUCCCAAGGUGGUGGUUUAGUGCUGUCAGGGACAUGUUGGCAGGAGGACCGUGUGAGCUGUUGUGUCCACAGUAGCCUGGAAAGGGUGAGGGCAAAGGGCUGGGGGACCGGUCAGAAGGCACCUACCACAAUCCAGGUAGGAGGUGACAGUGCUGCAGCCAGGCUGCACGGCGAAGGAUGGGAGGGGCCCCCGGAGAAACCUGAAUCAGGUACCACAGUAACGGGGAACGUGGAGGAGGGCGUGAUUCACUCCAAGGCCGCUUUCCCAGGGGAUGUGACUCAGGCAGGAUUUUGAAAAAUGAGCAGUUCAGCAGGCACUCAAGAGGGUGAGAACAUUCCAACACCGGUGUGCCGGGGCCCCAUUGAGAGGGAGCCAGGCCUGUUUGGGGACCUAUGAAGCAGCAUCACAUCAGAGCAGAAGGGUCAGGGGAGGCCAGAUGGGGAAGGAGCUCGCCGCUCUGCCAAGGGUGUUGUCCUCUGGGCGCCAGGGAGUUCAGGAAGAAUUUUAAGCCUGGGGGCCGGUGGUGCUUAAGACCUAAAACUUGCUAUUAAGAAAAGUCCCGUGGUCACCAUGAACGGCCUGGGGGGAGGUGGCAGGGAAAACCCAGAGGGGAAGCAGAAAAUGAGGGCUGACCCCGGGGCAGUGGGAGAGAGGGAAGGAGGCAUGAGAACCGUUUAGGGAGAAGAGAGGACCAGGGCCGUGUGGGUUUGGGGAAAGAGGAGCAGGCUGUUUUGAGGAAGAGAAUGAGUCAUGUGGGGGCCGGCUGAAUUGGAGGAUCCACUGGGGGAUCAGACAGCCAAGCCCCAGAGCAGCCGAUGUUGGAGUCUGGAGCUCAGCGGAGGGGACUUGGGUCCAGAAGCCUCAAGGGACAGGUGGCAUUUAAGCUGUGGAAGGCCACCAGCUAAAAGGCAUCUCCAGAUUUUUACCUUUAGUAAGAUCUGAAUAGAGGUAUAUUUCCCUCCUCUUUGCCUCUUUCCCAAGGCCUUUGAGAGAUACAGUGAGAAAAACAUUCUUGAGGGUAAAGAGGAGGGAUCCAGGAGGGGAUCCUCCUAGGGCAGCACGGAGGAAUCCCUGGGCUGGUCCCACUUCACCCCACGGUGUCUGCGGGCAGAGGGGCCUGGAUAGGCAGGGCUCUUGGUAUCCAUUGUCCGUGGGUCUCUGCAUGCAGAUAUGUAAAGUUAUGUGUUUUCAUCUCCCCGUGAUUCCUGUUUUCCUGCAGCCCUUCCCGCUGAGGCGUAUUGCCCAAUGAAGUUGGAGGGGUGAAUUCGAAGCAAGACCUCAAGCAGGGGGUGAAGCGGACAUGAUGUAGAGAAGCUGCUGCUGAUGGCAAUGGGACCAGAAAAGGGGGGCCUAAGGGAGAACAUGAGAAGCAAAAAGGGCAGCCCCUUAACCUUCAACCUCAGAGGCUCGUGAGGGAGAAACCCAGUCAGGUCUGAGGGGAGAUCUCACAGCAAGGGGGUGGGUGGGACUUGACUCAGAUUGCAGUGGGGAGAAAUUUUAAUGACACCCCCUCCCUAGCAAACCAGCGAUGCAAGAUGGUGCCAGCACAAUAUGGUGCCAGUCAGGAGGUGGUUUGGAAUGGCUGAGGAAGGGAGUCUGGGAAGUGGCUUCAUGCAACGCUGCUCGUUCUAGUGAGAAUGCAGCCAGGUAGUCCUAGGUCCCAGGGGCCGCAGAGCCAAGAUCUGCCUCACCAGCUAUGUGCAGGGACCAUGCACUUUGGCUUCACCUCUUCCUGCCCCUACCCCACCAGCAAGCCCCAGGGACCAGAACCAUCUCUGUCCUGCGUGUGUGUGUGUGUGUGUGUGUGUGUGUGUGUGUGUAAGAAUGCAGGGGACUCCACUCAGACCUUCAACCCUCUUGUCCCACCACCGUGAGGCCCAUGAACAUCUCUCUGCACCAGGAAAUUAUCUUGGCUGGGAGAAGGCGGAAGGGUGAGAAAACCUUGGAAUACUGAGCAAUUUUACUCAAAAGAGACUGAGUUAAUCAUACAGAAAUGGAGCUAUGUCUAAGGGGCAAUUUAAUGGUUUCUUUUUGUUUGUUUUCUUUUUGCCCGUCAGUAGUAGGAAUUAUCAGAUCACGAUGAGAAGAGUAUAAGAAAAAGUAAGAACAAUACUGAUUUGACCCAUCUGGGUAGGUGUGUGUGUGUGAUCUUUAGCCCUCCCACAAUUAUGUCUGUACACGUUUGCUGGGGCAACUGUAUAUUUUCAAUUCCAAUCGUCAGACCUUUCCUUGAAGCUCACGUGUGUUUUGAUCUGGCCAGGAAUUGAGAAUCAUAAAAUCAUUAAAUCUGUAUUAAUUACCUAUUGCUGCAUAGUAAGUUAAUCCAAAAUUUAGCUGAAAUAAAUAUGUAUUAUCUCACA